RNAcentral lists this ribosomal RNA (253 nucleotides) under uncultured bacterium. Its description in RNAcentral is "partial 16S ribosomal RNA". It matches the Rfam family "Bacterial small subunit ribosomal RNA", at positions 524 to 776 of the family's 1533-position model. The record is from RNAcentral.
UACGAAGGUGGCAAGCGUUACUCGGAAUUACUAGGCGUAAAGGGCAGGUAGGCGGUCUCGUUAGUCUGUUGUGAAAGCUCCUUGCUUAACGGGGAGAGGCCAACAGAUACUGCGAGGCUUGAGUAUAGGAGGGGGUACUGGAAUUCCCGGUGUAGCGGUGAAAUGCGUAGAUAUGCGGAGGAACACCGAUGGCGAAGGCAAUCCCCUGGGCCUGCACUGACGCUCAUGCACGAAAGCGUGGGGAGCAAACAGG